Nelumbo nucifera (sacred lotus) is the source of this 612-nucleotide long non-coding RNA. RefSeq lists it as uncharacterized. The record is from RefSeq and is a predicted model, not a curated record. Lineage: Eukaryota; Viridiplantae; Streptophyta; Magnoliopsida; Proteales; Nelumbonaceae.
GACUGGGGUCGGGGACGGAAAAUAUGAUCCCCGCGCCCAAACCCAUCCCAUUCCUACGUAAGAGUACAUAUCAUGGUUAUAGGCAAACCCUUAAACUCAGCCUCUUAAUUAGGUUUAUUGUGUGGUUAUUCAGAUACUCUCAUACUCUCAAUGUCUGGCGUUGUAGCAUCGUAUAUUGAUAGCAGAUAACUUGGGGCUCCGGUGGCAGUGGGCGAGCCAACGCAUUCGCGAACCUAUGCUUAUGUUCGAUGGGCACCCUGCCCUCAUGCAAGCCGGUAAAAAGAACCUGUGUGCCCUACCUUAGGAGGGAGACCGAGCCUACCACCAUCGCCCUCUCCCCGAACUGCUGCGGAAACGGUGUGGAUUCGGCGUGGGCAAGCCGAAACGAAGCGACGCUGGCUCCAUACCGGGAACAGGGAAGCAAGCCUUGGAACUUCGAGUUCUAGCGAGGAAGACCAGAGUGAUAACUGAACUCAAAACAGGCAUAGGGUGUUCGGCAAUUGAGUUGAGAUCAGCCCGUGAUGAGACAUCAAUGCACACAAUUUGUAACAUAACCAUCAAGACUUAGUCUCUCCCUCCCUUUGCCAUAGACUGCUCUGAGAGAUACCUGCA